GCAUGCGAAUCUCGAAAGCCUAUCUCAGUUCGGAUUGGAGGCUGAAACCCGCCUCCAUGAAGUUGGAUUCGCUAGUAAUCGCGCAUCAGCCAUGGCGCGGUGAAUACGUUCCCGGGCCUUGUACACACCGCCCGUCAAGCCAUGGGAGCCGGGGGGUGGCCUGAAGCCAGUGACCCAACCUUAAGGAGGGAGCUGUCGAAGGUGGAGCCGGUAACUGGGGUGAAGUCGUAACAAGGUACC
RNAcentral lists this ribosomal RNA (240 nucleotides) under uncultured bacterium. RNAcentral's name for it is "partial 16S ribosomal RNA". It matches the Rfam family "Bacterial small subunit ribosomal RNA", at positions 1263 to 1500 of the family's 1533-position model. The record is from RNAcentral.